GGCCGGGAGGAAUACAGCUCCCUAGCGCUGUGAUUUCAGCAUUAGAAUGCAGGCGUUACUUUAUUUCAGCGCUGGGUGCAGGGGGGACCAUUCCUCCGAACACUUGCCAGCACCGUUUCAGAAUUCUCGUCCCGCUUAUUUACAUGUACAAAUCUGUACACAUUAUAGCUUGGGCAUGUGUAUACAAUUUGGGGAACAGUCUCAAGAAGGUCUCUGGUGGUUAUUUGGGGAAUGGUCCCUACCUUACUUUAUCCUUUUGGGGCCACAAAUUCACCUGAGGACAUGACUUAUGAAUUGGCUCACAGUCUGAUGCCUUGGUUGAGCAACUUCUUUCUUCGUUUUUGCAGGAGCCGCUUAUUCCACUUAAGGAGAAAUUCUAUUGCUUCAGGGUUCCUUUCUGGGUAGCAGAGUGGUUUUAUUUGCAUCCCUUGACUUUAGACCCUGUAUUGCCCCAGCAUGCAUCCACAUGAAGGCAGGUCUUUGACAUGCCAGAAUGUGUAUAAAAGGAAACAGCAAGAGAAUGGUAACUACAGAUCAGUCUUCUAAGUAGCACAAUGCAAGACAGAAGCCCAUAUCAGCUGUGAUUAGUGAAGUUACUGAGAUCCAUUUUGAAAAACCAAAGCCACAGCAACUACUGCAUGUCUAGAACAGCUCCAGAUUGACCUCGUUCAUCCAUCUCAUUAACUACUUUCUCUGUGCUAGUACCCUGUAAAGAUACGAAUUUAAGAAAGAUUGCUUUCAAGAAAGUCAGUAAAGGUGUCCAUCCAGACAUCACUUCUGCAUCUUAAGCCAGCCCACCUACAAACUGCAGAGCCAGAAAGAAUUAUUUCAGGGCUAAGCAGUACCGUUCUGGACCAAUUUGGAUUUUCCCAGCAGCACAGUGCAUUCCAAGACACUGCUGUACUCUGCAGCCGUCUCAGCACGGCAGUCCAACCAGCAACAGCAGCAGAAAAACAAACAUAGCAAGAAAAGACCCUGUCCUUCAGGUAAGGGGGAGAUGCAUCUUCUGACCAUCCCUGCCUUAAGUUACAGACUGAAGAAGACGGAGGAGAAAUUACCCUGACAGACCAGUGUGUACCUUUCCCCGACGGAGCAGCUUCCUACAGCCGAGAAGCGCUGCCCCGCUGCUGGUCUCGCCGGUAGCGAGUUGUCCCUCGCCGCGCGGUCGCGCUCCCAGCGGCUGCCGGCCCCUCCGCUCGAGUGCCUGCUGGAUCAUUGCCAGGAGCACCGACGUUCGCACCCCAGGAAAGCCUCUCGCAUAGCCACAAGCUCCAAGCGCUGACCCCGACCUGGCCAGGGCUGCCGCUGCCGAGCCCCAAGCCACCGCACCGUAAGAGACGCGACCCCAGCGCCCCCGGCCCUGCUUCGAGGCCACCGCCGGCACUUGAGGAAAGCGAAGGAACACGGCGGGAGCCUCUCGCAUCGCACCGGGGCUGCGCGCAGUGCUGACAUCCCGUGACCCACAGCACCUCUUCCUGCCGAGCCGUCAGCAAGAAGUGCCCGGGGCGCUUAGGGACCAGCUGCUUCCCGGCGGAGAGGGAUGCGGAGAGGGAUGCGGAGAGGGAUGCGAAGAGGGAUGCGGAGCCCACCCUGGGCGGAGACGCGCGGGAGGAAAAGGAGUCUUCGGUACCUACCCGAGUAUCACAGUCACGUCCGCACACCCCCGUCUCCAGCUGCAGGAGAUUUUGGGCGGAGCUGGCGAACUGAAGUCCCGCCGACAGCUCCUCUCUGGAGCUGCUGGAGCCUGAGGCUGCGGGGACAGCACGGCCUUGAUCCCGCGCCUCCCUCUCGCCCCCCCCGUCUGUGUCGCUGCGCCCAGGGGACAGCGGGACACGCGAGGCGAGGAGGCGGUGACACCGUGAGAUCCUUCCUCCCUCCGUCCGUGUCUCCCUGCUGAGUGACCAUGGCCUUUGGGACAGCCCAAGGGCCCAAGGUUGAGACCGCAACCUGAGGAUCUUUACUGGAUGACUACCUCACCUCAGUAGAAGUGUGACACUGACCACCUAGUCCUCGGCAGCUUCUCAUGCGCAUAAAACGAAAAUAGUGUCCCACAGAAGAGGCCAACUUCAGACAAUGGCCAUUGCUGGUUUUACUGCCUCAGCUUGAACUUGCAGCCAUGUUCCCAAGUUUAGGCACCACCACUAAACCACUAAACAGCUAUAUGCCUGUGGCUCCAGUACAUCGUUUUUAGCUGCAAGAGUGAGUAUAAGGUAGCAAGCUUACUUCCUGAACCAAAUAUAUGUGGUUUUGAGGAAGGAAGGGGGGAAUGGGCACAUGUGGUGAAGAGUUCGGAGAUAAUUUCUGUAUUGCAGCCCUUUAUCAAACAUACACUGGGCAAAUAUGUUUUCUGAAGGCCUAAAUUAGUUUUAAUUAUCAUACCAAAUAAGAGGACAAUGUGUCUGAAAAAACCCACCUGUAUUCCUAAAAGUUUGAACAACAGCUAGUAAGAACUUGGAAUACUGAAGACAGGAAAUUUUGAUCCUCCCUUUUAGCCUUUAAUGCACAUGUUGAAUUAUUAGGUGAAUCAGCAAAAAAACUCAAACAAACAAAAAACAACAACAAAAAAACCCAACAAACAAAAAACCCAAACAAACAAAAAAACCAAAACUAUAACCCAAGUGAUGAUCAAUUUAUAUUCUCCCUUUGUAAUUUCUGAUGAUUUUUCUAUCCAGAUUUCCAUCAGUCUCUUUAAAUUGUGGUGUUAUUCAAGAAUGUGAGGAAAUAACUAUAAGGGUUAUUGCUCAAACAAGUCACUACCAUAUCCAUCAUAUGGUGAACUCCAUCAAAAUUUCACUGUAAACACUCUGCAAGAUGUUGCUCAUCUGAACUGUUACCUUGUUGUGAAUGCUUUCUUGUGUGUGCACCAUUUUGGUUUCAAAACUGAUCUGUGAAAUUUAAUUCAGUUUUUAAUUCAGUUUUGUCUUUCACUGGCCAUCAACAAAGUCAGCAGUAUCUGUAGUAUCAAGUUAAUGCUACCAAUGAGCUCUUCACUAAUGCAAUAAUUGCUAGAUUUUCAGUAUCUCUUGCUAAAUCAAGUAUUUUAUACUUAAAACCAAAUUUUAGUCUAAAGGGGCAACAAUAUGUUCUAUUAAAUAUUAUUGUUGAGCUGCUGCUUUGACAUUGAGGCUAGAACAGAUCAACCAGCAUUUUUUCCACAGGCAUACCCUGUGCUGUAACACAGAAUUGGGUUUGAAUUUCACAGUCUUUCCCAGCUGGACUGUUAUCUCUGCAGAGCCCCAUUGCUUUUAAAGUCAAGAGCAACAGCAGGUACAAUCCUGCUAAGUGGGUUUAAAGGUAUCAAAUCUGGUGGUAUUAAAUGAGAUCAAUUCAUUACCCAUCAGGCAUCACAACAGGAUUUGUCUAUAAUGGAUUACCUGUUUGACCACUUUUAUAUUUUUAACAAAAAGAAAAACCCACCCACACUUUAAGGAAAUUUAAAUCAAUUAAAUUCUCUUUAAUAGGAAAAAGACAAAAAAGCUUGAUUGGGGUGCAUUAUGCAACAUAGAUAUUGUUAAUUAUUCUGGCAAGUUUCUCUGCAGAAACAUCCAAAAACAAGGAUUUUUUUGUCUACUUGUUGGUGUAGUAAAGCAUGGAUUUGAAUUUGUCAUAAUAAGUGGAUGGAGGUAAAAUAUACAGGUAGAAGAAUUAUGCUUCCCAAAGACACACAAAAUAGUCCAAGAAGUUCACAGCAAGGGAAUGUGGUCAUUUAUGUGGUGAUGAUUAGGCUGUCCCAUUUUCUUGCAAUUUUAAUUAUUGCAACUUUUGAUUUUGGCUGUUUGACUUCCUUGGGUGAAACUGGAAGAAGAAGGGAAGUCUAAAUUUUUCUUGGGCAUUGGAAACCACUGAAGACCAGGGAAAUAUAUUGAUUAAGUGAUAGCUACUGUUCAGAGUAACAGUCACCUUGUCACUCACAUGGACACGUAAAUUCAAUGCCUGAGUUGCAACAACACAAUCUGUGAUCCUAACUUCAACAUGUUGCUAUUGCAGCUUUUUCAGCUCUUUCUGACUCACUCUGCCAGGACACCAUUUAUUGUGGGGAAAGGUAACAUUCAGCUGCAGAGCAUUGAGACAGCAGUUUUUAAAUAUCUCUUCCAUCUAGAUCGCUGAAAAUAUGUCUGCUUGACUAACAAGUAUGUUACUAAAUAAGUACUGACCAAUAUCUGCCAUGAACUCUUAUCAUAAAAGCAGCAGCAGAUCUUCUGUACAGGGUGGCUGUAAGUGCCUAUACACAGAAUUACUCUUUACUAGAACAGUUCUGCUUAUAAAACAUUUAGAAUAAAAUGUCAGCAGUAGCAUCUUUCAAUCAAGAAGGGGUUGUUUUGGUCUUUGAACAGGAAAGUUUAAUGUGUUAGGUUAGUUAAUAUAUUGGGGAAGUAAAUGUACAAUGGAAUUUAGAAAAAAUUUUGAAUGAGACCAGCAGAACCAAGUCAGAAUAAAAACUCUCUCUAGCAUACUGUUAACGGUUCCAAAAGUAAAUUGAGGUUUCUUCUUACUUGCCUUGGUCAGAUGCUUUUGUAGAUAGAUAACUGGCUUAUAUUUCAUGUGGUUUUUGGCAUUGACCUUGAUACAGAAUUAAACAACUGAUGCACACUGGAUUGCUGCAGGCUCUAUGUGAUUUUACAUAAUUGAAGUGAAUGCUUUAGGUAAGUCAAAUUAAAUAUACUUUAAAUA
RNAcentral lists this long non-coding RNA (4671 nucleotides) under Taeniopygia guttata (zebra finch). RNAcentral describes it as "lncRNA (ENSTGUG00000019559.1)". The record is from RNAcentral. Lineage: Eukaryota; Metazoa; Chordata; Aves; Passeriformes; Estrildidae.